RNAcentral lists this non-coding RNA (26 nucleotides) under Rattus norvegicus (Norway rat). Lineage: Eukaryota; Metazoa; Chordata; Mammalia; Rodentia; Muridae. The record is from RNAcentral.
UUCCUGACUUUGACGGUGGUGGCGGC